GACGAACGCUGGCGGCGUGCUUAACACAUGCAAGUCGAACGGAAAGGCCCUGCUUUUGUGGGGUGCUCGAGUGGCGAACGGGUGAGUAACACGUGAGUAACCUGCCCUUGAACUUGGGAUAACUUCAGGAAACUGGGGCUAAUACCGGAUAGGAGCUCCUGCUGCAUGGUGGGGGUUGGAAAGUUUCGGUGGUUGGGGAUUGAAUCGCGGCUUAUCAGCUUGUUGGUGGGGUAGUGGCUUACCAAGGUUUUGGCGGGUAGCCGGCCUGGGAGGGUGACCGGCCUCAUUGGUACUGCGGUACGGCCCAGAAUCCAACUGGAGGCAGCAGUGGGAAAUAUUGAACAAUGGGCGGAAGCCUGAUGCAGCGACGCCGCGUGCGGAAUAACGGCCUUCUAGUUAUAACCCGCUUUCGCCUGUAACGUAGCGUGAGUGACGGUAAUGAGUAAAGAAGCACCGGCUAACUACGUG
This 468-nucleotide ribosomal RNA is filed under the name uncultured bacterium. RNAcentral's name for it is "partial 16S ribosomal RNA". It matches the Rfam family "Bacterial small subunit ribosomal RNA", at positions 28 to 507 of the family's 1533-position model. The record is from RNAcentral.